Molecule: ribosomal RNA, 411 nt
Filed under: Verrucomicrobiota bacterium
Lineage: Bacteria; Pseudomonadati; Verrucomicrobiota
Description: Verrucomicrobia bacterium partial 16S ribosomal RNA
Rfam family: Bacterial small subunit ribosomal RNA
Source: RNAcentral
UGGGGAAUAUUGCGCAAUGGGGGAAACCCUGACGCAGCGACGCCGCGUGCGGGAUGAAGGCCUUCGGGUUGUAAACCGCUUUUGAUUGGGAGCAAGCCUUUUGGGUGAGUGUACCUUUCGAAUAAGCGCCGGCUAACUACGUGCCAGCAGCCGCGGUAAUACGUAGGUCCCGAGCGUUGUCCGGAUUUAUUGGGCGUAAAGCGAGCGCAGGCGGUUAGAAAAGUCUGAAGUGAAAGGCAGUGGCUCAACCAUUGUAGGCUUUGGAAACUGUUUAACUUGAGUGCAGAAGGGGAGAGUGGAAUUCCAUGUGUAGCGGUGAAAUGCGUAGAUAUAUGGAGGAACACCGGUGGCGAAAGCGGCUCUCUGGUCUGUAACUGACGCUGAGGCUCGAAAGCGUGGGGAGCGAACAGG